RNAcentral lists this ribosomal RNA (253 nucleotides) under uncultured bacterium. RNAcentral's name for it is "partial 16S ribosomal RNA". It matches the Rfam family "Bacterial small subunit ribosomal RNA", at positions 524 to 776 of the family's 1533-position model. The record is from RNAcentral.
GACGGAGGGUGCUAGCGUUGUUCGGAAUCACUGGGCGUAAAGGGCGCGUAGGCGGCUUCAGGUGUCGGAUGUGAAAGCCCGGGGCUCAACUCCGGAGGUGCAUCCGAAACUCUGGGGCUGGAGGCCGGAAGAGGAGGGUGGAAUACCCAGUGUAGAGGUGAAAUUCGUAGAUAUUGGGUGGAACACCGGUGGCGAAAGCGGCUCUCUGGUCCGGUCCUGACGCUGAGGCGCGAAAGCGUGGGGAGCAAACAGG